Molecule: ribosomal RNA, 297 nt
Filed under: uncultured bacterium
Lineage: Bacteria
Description: partial 16S ribosomal RNA
Rfam family: Bacterial small subunit ribosomal RNA
Source: RNAcentral
CACGCCGUAAACGAUGUCAACUAGCCGUUGGAAGCCUUGAGCUUUUAGUGGCGCAGCUAACGCAUUAAGUUGACCGCCUGGGGAGUACGGCCGCAAGGUUAAAACUCAAAUGAAUUGACGGGGGCCCGCACAAGCGGUGGAGCAUGUGGUUUAAUUCGAAGCAACGCGAAGAACCUUACCAGGCCUUGACAUCCAAUGAACUUUCCAGAGAUGGAUUGGUGCCUUCGGGAACAUUGAGACAGGUGCUGCAUGGCUGUCGUCAGGUUGUGUCAAGUGAUUGUGGCUUACGAUGAGGGA